CUGUAAAUAGUAUCAGCUGAAAUUUACUAAGUAGAAUUUAAUUAUAUUUUAUGAGUAAGGUCAACAGUAUCAACAAAAAAAAAAUCUAAAAAGUAAAUUCUAACUAAUGGGAACUCUUUGGAUUUAAUCGCUGCGCAAUUCCGCCCCAGAAAUUGCGCCUCACAAACGUAGAAGUCUGCUACUGCCAGUUGACUGCGAAGCUGAAUUUGGCUGCCAUUCAUUCAAGAUCUUGAGGAACAAAAGACAAAUGUUAUUCAAAUAGUUCAGGACCUCACUGUAUGUACAAAAAUCAAGGGUGAGUUUCACAGAAUCACAAUGGUGCACCUGGAAUCAAAGUUCAUGUCCAAUCUGGACGAAUACUCCCCUAGGCUUCUGAACCUUUUCCACGGGUGCCAUGGGAUUAAGGUUGCAGAUUGUCCUACUGAAGGCUCCUAGCAAUGCUUCCAUUGACUUAACCAGAGAAACUGUCAUCAGGUGUCUGAUGUUGUAUCUUGGCGAAUCUGCCGAUCAGCUCUUUAGAGAGUAUGAUGAUGAAGAUGAAGACAGUGUGGCACAGGACCUUGCUCUACAAGUGAUGAAGGUCUACAGCAGUAUAUCCGUAUUGUGAUAGAUGGAACAAAGGUCCUGACUGAUCUGGGCUGGUUUCCAAGGGCUUGUGCCAUGCUCGUGGGUUUGACUUAUGCAUUGAAUUUUGCAUACCCCAAAGAGCUCAGGUACACUUUUGAGGCCUUUCAGAAACUUUUCCUCGAGCUAAACUGGUCAAAGCUUUCCCCAAAAGUGAACAGCCUCAAGAGCAAGCUACUGGCUAAAGAAAAGGACCCCUAAAUACACUGGAGGCCCUCCAUAUAUUGUGCUGCAACUAAGCCUUCAAGUCUUGCUCAGAAAUUUUUUUAUCCACACUGAUUUGAAAUGAUGUGAUGUUAUACAUUGGACAGUGAGAGUUGUGUUUUGAAAACACAGAGGUUCUUCAGGAUUAGACUAUUAGCACUUUCCUGGUUAGGAUAUAUGGAUACUAGUGACACAACAAAGUCCACUUUCACAGAGGCCAAACCAGACACUCCUCUUGUUUUUUGUGAUUCUUCUGGUUGUUUUUCAUCAACUUGCAUUUCUAAUAUAAGAUGGACAAUAUUUUUGCUGAAUUUUCAUUUCUGUUUUGUGCAGCUGGUGGUUGUGAGCGCUGGUCUAAUUCAAUCUAUGCAAUUUGCCUGCCUCAAAUAGUAAGAACCUUCAUUUGCCUCUAGACGUAUUUUAGUACUCUGUUUGCAGGCUUCAAAGUACCUGCCGUUAUGUAAAGACAAUUUUAAAAUAUACUUCGGUUUUAUCUGAUGAACUAUUUUGAUGUUUCAUAGAUUGUAGGUGUUUAAUCUCAAAUGUCUGUGACAUGAGUUUCACUGCUGCAGUUAAUGUUCAGGUGUGUUCAGAAAAACCCAAAUUUUUUGUACUUAUUUAGGGGCUUGCUGUUGUGAUUCUGUUGUGUACAGCAGGAAUAUAUGUUGCAUGUUUUAAUAGAUUAAUCUUAAAUUUGCACUAAUGAUUUAUUUGAGCACCACUUUGGUUGGUGAACAACCAAACCAAAUGAAAUUCUUUUCUUACAGGAUUCCUCGUUAGUUCUUUGAAUUUUUGGCAUUUACACAAAAAUGUUUUUGAAAAAGGAAAGCGUGUAUGUAAACAAUGUUGUACAAAUAAAUGCUUGUCGUUUUUCUA
Girardinichthys multiradiatus is the source of this 1704-nucleotide long non-coding RNA. RefSeq lists it as uncharacterized. NCBI's taxonomy places the organism in Eukaryota, Metazoa, Chordata, Actinopteri, Cyprinodontiformes, Goodeidae. The record is from RefSeq and is a predicted model, not a curated record. The transcript is spliced from 5 exons.